This 969-nucleotide small RNA is filed under the name Histoplasma capsulatum. Its description in RNAcentral is "hypothetical RNA". RNAcentral also lists the same sequence under 1 other name. Lineage: Eukaryota; Fungi; Ascomycota; Eurotiomycetes; Onygenales; Ajellomycetaceae. The record is from RNAcentral.
GCCCGAUUAGUUGGCUUGCAGAUUUCCUUGCCACCUGGCUAUCCAACUUUCUUCCUUCUUUCGAGGGCUCGCUUGUGCUGUAGCUAAGCCAACGUGUGGAGCCUGCAUCUACAUGGGAUUAGGCGAUUGCCUUCUCCUGUCGAGUCAACGAAAUUCCAUGAUUUUGCAAAUAGACUGAAAAAUUAGGAACUCGUUGCGCCCAUUCUCCUGUGGCUUGGUCACAGAGUCUCAUCAGGGUCGAUUCUGUGCUGGCACUUUCCCCCCAUUCAUACGCCGUCUAUGGAGGAAAGACUCCCGGUACAGCAUAUACGAGCUGGACACAGCUGGCAUACAAUGUGCCAGCUGCUUUGACACCAUACCAAUUGACCCCUACCAGACGCUCCUUUCCCUAGGCUGGUCCGCAACUCGCUGACGACCCCACCGAUCCCGCCCUUCCGGCUAUUCCGAUUUCCAUGUCCAAUUGGGGCGGAACUGUUACAGCUUGCUUCAGCUUAGAAUGUCCCUUGUCCUUUGUCCUCCAUCGUCCUUUCGCCAUGUUAAGGCCUGUAUCCCUAACUCGCCAUUGAGCUAUACAUGUUAAUUUCCCAUGGCACCGCUGUCAAAAUGAACAUGGAUUUCCUCUACCCUACCCCUCGCGUUCCGCGUAUAUUCCAUCUUUCUUUCGCUGGGCGGCGUUUAUCGUACCACCCCGCAACAUCAGCACCUUGGACGCCUCAACUGCUUACCAUAGGGCUGCUACGACCAUAUUGUUCCGACUUUUCCGACUUCGCGGAAAUGUCUGUUACCGUGCUUGAUUUGUCGUUUUGUCUAUGUGAUAAUAGACUGUUAUUUCACAUGAUAAUUCCAACAUAUCUCGCUUGGACCAGCGGUGAGGGCUGGACAACAAACGAUAGGCUAUCUACGGCAUAUGAGAGUUAUCCCGUACCAUACUACCGGGUUUGGAGUCAUUUGACAGCGCCAAUUAUUGGA